RNAcentral lists this non-coding RNA (52 nucleotides) under unclassified sequences. RNAcentral's name for it is "chromate-resist RNA". It matches the Rfam family "chrB-b RNA". The record is from RNAcentral.
CCGGGGCGGCCAGCUCCCGGAUUGUUCAGACGGUGUCCCGUCCAAGCGUGGC